RNAcentral lists this ribosomal RNA (301 nucleotides) under uncultured bacterium. RNAcentral's name for it is "partial 16S ribosomal RNA". It matches the Rfam family "Bacterial small subunit ribosomal RNA", at positions 509 to 808 of the family's 1533-position model. The record is from RNAcentral.
CAGCAGCCGGGUAACACCGAGGGUGCGAGCGUUAAUCGGAUUUACUGGGCGUAAAGCGUGCGUAGGCGGCUUUUUAAGUCGGAUGUGAAAUCCCUGAGCUUAACUUAGGAAUUGCAUUCGAUACUGGGAAGCUAGAGUAUGGGAGAGGAUGGUAGAAUUCCAGGUGUAGCGGUGAAAUGCGUAGAGAUCUGGAGGAAUACCGAUGGCGAAGGCAGCCAUCUGGCCUAAUACUGACGCUGAGGUACGAAAGCAUGGGGAGCAAACAGGAUUAGAGACCCGUGUAGUCCCUGUCUCUUAUACA